AGUGAACGCUGGCGGUAGGCCUAACACAUGCGAGUCGAACGGCAGCACAGUAAGAGCUUGCUCUUACGGGUGGCGAGUGGCGGACGGGUGAGGAAUACAUCGGAAUCUACUUUUUCGUGGGGGAUAACGUAGGGACACUUACGCUAAUACCGCAUACGAUCUACGGGUGAAAGCAGGGGAUCUUCGGACCUUGCGUGAUUGAAUGAGCCGAUGUCGGAUUAGCUAGUUGGCGAGGUAAAGGCCCACCAAGGCGACGAUCCGUAGCUGGUCUGAGAGGAUGAUCAGCCACACUGGAACUGAGACACGGUCCAGACUCCUACGGGAGGCAGCAGUGGGGAAUAUUGGACAAUGGGCGCAAGCCUGAUCCAGCCAUACCGCGUGAGUGAAGAAGGCCUUCGGGUUGUAAAGCCCUUUUGUUGGGAAAGAAAAGCAGCAGGUUAAUACCCCGCUGUUCUGACGGUACCCAAAGAAUAAGCACCGGCUAACUUCGUG
This 492-nucleotide ribosomal RNA is filed under the name uncultured bacterium. Its description in RNAcentral is "partial 16S ribosomal RNA". It matches the Rfam family "Bacterial small subunit ribosomal RNA", at positions 29 to 507 of the family's 1533-position model. The record is from RNAcentral.